GAAGUAUGGAAGGGUUGCCUCGCCGGUCGACCGGAGAGAGACGUCCGUCCAGGUCGCACGAGCGUGCCGCGGACGUCCCCGGCGAUAGCUGGAAGACUGGGCAUAACCCACCUUUCCUAAUGUGUCGACCUCAGAUCAGACGAGAAUACCCGCUGAAU
This 158-nucleotide ribosomal RNA is filed under the name Vaejovis granulatus. RNAcentral's name for it is "partial 28S ribosomal RNA". The record is from RNAcentral. Lineage: Eukaryota; Metazoa; Arthropoda; Arachnida; Scorpiones; Vaejovidae.